This 654-nucleotide ribosomal RNA is filed under the name uncultured archaeon. RNAcentral describes it as "bacterial SSU rRNA". It matches the Rfam family "Archaeal small subunit ribosomal RNA", at positions 508 to 1160 of the family's 1478-position model. The record is from RNAcentral.
GCCUAAAGCGUCCGUAGCCGGCUAUGUUAGUUUUCGGUUAAAUCCAUGUGCUCAACACAUGGGCUGUCGAGAAUACUGCAUAGCUAGGGAGUGGGAGAGGUAGACGGUACUCUGUAGGAAGGGGUAAAAUCCUUUGAUCUAUAGAUGACCACCAGUGGCGAAGGCGGUCUACCAGAACACGUCCGACGGUGAGGGAUGAAAGCUGGGGGAGCAAACCGGAUUAGAUACCCGGGUAGUCCCAGCUGUAAACUAUGCAAACUCAGUGAUGCAUUGGCUUGUGGCCAGUGCAGUGCCGCAGAGAAGUCGUUAAGUUUGCCGCCUGGGAAGUACGUACGCAAGUAUGAAACUUAAAGGAAUUGGCGGGGGAGCACCACAAGGGGUGAAGCCUGCGGUUCAAUUGGAGUCAACGCCAGAAAUCUUACCCGGAGAGACAGCAGAAUGAAGGUCAAGCUGAAGACUUUACCAGACAAGCUGAGAAGUGGUGCAUGGCCGUCGCCAGCUCGUGCCGUGAGGUGUCCUGUUAAGUCAGGUAACGAGCGAGAUCCCUGCCUCUAGUUGCCACCAUUACUCUCAGGAGUAGUGGGGCGAAUUAGCGGGACUGCCGCAGUUAAUGCGGAGGAAGGAGGGGGCCACGGCAGGUCAGUAUGCCCCGAA